AUUGAACGCUGGCGGAAUGCUUUACACAUGCAAGUCGAACGGCAGCACGGAGGCAACCCUGGUGGCGAGUGGCGAACGGGUGAGUAAUACAUCGGAACGUGCCCAGUCGUGGGGGAUAACGUAGCGAAAGUUACGCUAAUACCGCAUACGAUCUACGGAUGAAAGCGGGGUACCGUAAGGCCUCGCGCGAUUGGAGCGGCCGAUGUCAGAUUAGGUAGUUGGUGAGGUAAAGGCUCACCAAGCCGACGAUCUGUAGCUGGUCUGAGAGGACGACCAGCCACACUGGGACUGAGACACGGCCCAGACUCCUACGGGAGGCAGCAGUGGGGAAUUUUGGACAAUGGGCGCAAGCCUGAUCCAGCCAUUCCGCGUGCAGGACGAAGGCCUUCGGGUUGUAAACUGCUUUUGUACGGAACGAAAAGGCUCUGGUUAACACCUGGGGCUCAUGACGGUACCGUAAGAAUAAGCACCGGCUAACUACGUGCCAGCAGCCGCGGUAA
Molecule: ribosomal RNA, 500 nt
Filed under: uncultured bacterium
Lineage: Bacteria
Description: partial 16S ribosomal RNA
Rfam family: Bacterial small subunit ribosomal RNA
Source: RNAcentral